UCAUCAGCUUCCCCAUCAACACAUGCCCCACCACCUGCAGCAAGACCCAGAGGCGCUGGAGCCUGAGCCAGAGCCAGAGCCAGAGCCGCAGCAGCUCCGCCAUGGUGGAAACGGGCUGCAGCCUGAGCAGGAGUUCAGAGUGGUCCUCAGAGGGAUGGGGUGACCCAGCAACACUCCACAGGGUGUAUGGCCCAGAUUCGCCCUGAGCCAAAAAAGCCAGCUUGAUUUAGGCUGAACUAAAAGAGAUAUAGAUGGUGUCCCAUAUUAGGGAGUCCAAAGAUCAUUUCCUGUUGAGUUCACCUUGUUGGACCCAGAUACCAAGCAGCUAUUGGCACAGAAGGAACUGGGAGAAGUGAUUGCUGAGUACUUUGAAAGAACGUGAAGGACAGGAGAGGAAUCAACCAGACUCAACAAGUGCAAAUUUUGUUCAGUUUUGUUUUGUUCUCUUAAGUAAAAAAAUGAGAUUCUGAAAAGUAGAGGUCACUGAGCUUAAAUUCUAUUCCUGUCAAAAAUUAAAAACCCUUACCUUCUGUCUUGGAAUCAAUACUCGGCAUAGAUUCCAAGACAGAAAAGAAGUAAGGGCAAGGCAACUAAGGUUAAAUGACUUGCCCAGGGUAACACAGCUAGGAAGUGUCUAAGGCCAGACAGAUUUGAACCCAGAAUCACCUGUCUAGGCCUGGCAUUCUCUCUACUGAGCCACCUAGCUGCCCUUAUAUCAUAUUAUUGUUUUCUAUUUUAUAGAUUGAUUUUAUUUUUUAAUAACAUUUUAUUUUAAAAAUAUUUUCCCAUGGUUACAUGAUUCAUGUUCUCUCCUUCCCCUCUUCCCUAAUUUCCAAAUAUAAACCACCUCUUUCUUCCUAAAAAGCCAUCCUUUGCAAUCAAGAAUAAAAAAGAAAAUGGUUUAGCAAAAUUGCCCAAUGUAUUAACCAAGUUGAAUAAUGCUAUAUCAAACACACAGCCUAUAGUGUAAGUCCUGCAAAACUCUCAAGUGCUGCCCAAACCAGAUUUAAAUACAUAUGGGAAAUAUUCCACAAAAUAAAUAUAUAAUGUUAAUAUAUGGUUUUCUAAAUCACUAUGUACCCACCGAGAUCUUUACUAUGGCUUAAUGAUUCCUAUAUAUACAUAUAUAUAAUGUAUAAAUUAUAUAUAUAUAUAUAUAAAUAUUUAUAUUUAUUCCUAUUUUUAUUUGAAAAAAAUUUUUUAUUAGAAUAUUUUUUGGGGGCAGCUGGGUAGCUCAGUGGAUUGAGAGCCAGCCCUAGAGACGGGAGGUCCUAGGCUCAAAUCUGAAUUCGGACACUUCCCAACUGUGUGACCCUGAACAAGUCACUUCACUCCCAUUGCCCAGCCCUUACCACUCUUCUGCCGUGGAACCAAUACACAGUAUUGAUUCCAAGACGGAAGGUAAGGGUUUAAAAAAAAAAAAGAAUUUUUUUCCAUCGUUACCUGAUUCAUGAUUCCCCCACCCCCUGCUUUUUCCUCCCCACUCCCAAAGCUGAUCAAUAGUUCCACUGAGUUAUAUAUGUAUCAUUGUUCAAAAUCUAUUUCCAUGUUAUUCAUAUUUGCAGUAGAGUGCUCUUUUAACAUCAAAGCCCCAUCAUAUCCCUAUUGAACUAUGUGAUCGAUCAUGUUUUUUUCUUCUGCAUUUCUUCUCCCACAGUUCUUUCUCUGGAUGUGGAUAGCUUCUUUCUCAUAAUUUUCUCCGGAUUGUCCUGGGACAUUGCAUUGCUGCUAGUAGAAAAAUUUAUUACAUUCAAUUGUGUCAUUAUGUAUCAGUCUCUGUCUAUAAUGUUCUCCUGGUUCUGCUUCUUUCACUCCGCAUCAAUUCAUGGAGGUUCUUCCAGUUCACAUGGAAUUCCUCCAGUUCAUUAUUCCUUUUGGCACAAUAAUAUUCCAUCACCAUCAGAUACCACAAUUUAUUAAGCCAUUCCCUAAUCAAUGGACACCCCCUCAUUUUCCAACUUUUUGCCACCACAAAGAGCGUGGCUAUAAAUAUUCUUGUACAAGUCUUUUUCCUUAUUAUCUCUUUGAGGUACAAACCCAACAGUGCUAUGGCUGGAUCAAAGGGUAGGCAUUCUUUUAAAACCCUUUUUGCAUAGUUCCAAAUUGCCGUCCAGAAUGGUUGGACCAAUUCACAUCUCUACUAGCAGUAUAUUAGUGUUCCAAUUUUGCCACAUCCCUUCCAACAUGUUGUGGAAGAGGCUUGAAGAAAGAGGAUUUGCAGGACAAGCCAGACAUGCAGACCAAGGUGAAGGACCUGUCUGUCAAUCAAGGCAAAGAUUCCAAAUGGAAUGUUCCCAGGAGAGGCAGUUGGGGAGCCUGGCCAGAGGAGAGAAACUGGGACUUUGGGCUCUGGGUUACUGACCAAAGGAGAAACCUCUUCUCUGGGUUCCUGAUCAAAAGAGAAUGGCUUUUCCUGACCUAGGCAGAGAGAGAGAGAGAGAUCUUUUGUUUUGGGAUAGAGUCUGGACUUGAGUUACUCAAGCAGAGAUUAUCUGACUAAAGAAAGAAGAAAAGAAGAAAGAUAUUUGUCCACCAAACUCUCUGAUUGUCCUUGAGUCACUGCUGUGACUGGACUGACAUUUUCCAUAAUCUUCCUAAUUCUCCUUAUCGAUUAGGGAAACCCUAUCCCUUUUACCUCAAUCUUCAUCUUGUUUCCCAAUAAACCUUCUUAC
Monodelphis domestica (gray short-tailed opossum) is the source of this 2672-nucleotide long non-coding RNA. RefSeq lists it as uncharacterized. Lineage: Eukaryota; Metazoa; Chordata; Mammalia; Didelphimorphia; Didelphidae. The record is from RefSeq and is a predicted model, not a curated record.